AAGCGAUUUAUUUGUGUAGCUCAUUAUACAUGCAGAUUCCGAUGUUUACGUCAUUGAAAAUACAAUGACAUCAACAUCGGAAUCUGCAUGUAUAAUGAGCUACACAAAUAAAUCGCUU
This is a non-coding RNA of Paramuricea clavata, 118 nucleotides long. NCBI's taxonomy places the organism in Eukaryota, Metazoa, Cnidaria, Anthozoa, Malacalcyonacea, Plexauridae. The record is from the annotation of a GenBank genome assembly.